AUGAAGUCACAGACCCAGGUCGUCAUGCGCCUGUUCCUCUGGGUGUCUGGUGCCAGUGCAGAUAUCAUGCUGACCCAGUCUCCAUCCUCCAUGACUGUGUCAGCAGGAGAGAAGGUCACCAUCAGCUGCAAGUCCAGUCAGAGUCUUUUAUCUGGUAUGGCUAACUACUUGGCUUGGUACCAGCAGAAACCAGGGCAGGCUCCGAAACUGCUGAUCUACUAUGCAUCCACUCGGUACUCUGGGGUCUCUGAUCGCUUCACAGGCAGUGGAUCUGGGACAGAUUUCAUUCUCACCAUUAGCAGUGUCCAGAAUGAAGACCUGGCAGAUUAUUACUGUCAAAAAAAUAAUGACAUCUUGAAUUUUGCAGGCAAAUGGAUGGAG
This is a non-coding RNA of Alexandromys fortis (reed vole), 381 nucleotides long. NCBI's taxonomy places the organism in Eukaryota, Metazoa, Chordata, Mammalia, Rodentia, Cricetidae. The record is from the annotation of a RefSeq genome assembly.